Molecule: long non-coding RNA, 37695 nt
Filed under: Ananas comosus (pineapple)
Lineage: Eukaryota; Viridiplantae; Streptophyta; Magnoliopsida; Poales; Bromeliaceae
Description: long non-coding RNA (ACOM_LNC013848)
Source: RNAcentral
GUUGAUAUUGGAAACUAUAUUUUAUUAUUUUUAAAUGUUUUAUGUAUGACAAAAUUAGUUUGAGUUGUUGGUGCUAACUAUUAAUUCUCAAAACUCGAGCUAUUAAAAUUAUGCAACCAAUUCACUUAAAACAUAUAGAUUUAGUAUUCAUGGAUCUCGAUUGUGAUUCGGCCACAUCAGUCUCACGCGCAUUUCAAACAUAAUUCGGCACAAAUUAGCCUUCCGCCACAUAGCAGGAUGCUAACAGUAGGACACAAAUAUUAAAACUGUGAAUACUGUAGUACAAAAUGUGACAGGGAGCUACAUUCAUUUUAGCCCAAUAAACAUUUUUUGAGAGAAAGAUGGCAUUCCAUUCGUUUUGUUUAAUUUUUUCAAAAAUAAAUUUAGCUAAAAAUGUGAAACAAUUAGACUUCGUACAGAUAUCAACCAUCAAGUCUUUUGCUACUUGCACUGGUGACGUUAUUUUAAAGUAAAGUUUAAUACAUUACGCGGGCGUACAUACGUCAUGCCCGUGUUAGAGCCCACACUCUUUUUGCAGUAUCGAAAAGCCCAUCCAAUGCUGGGCCUGCUUUUGGUCAACCAAGUGUUUGAACCUCACAUAUCCCCCCCAUGUUUCUGAUUUCAAGAAUUUGUGAAAAUUGAUCAGCAUGCACAUGAGGAAAACUUUAAUCAAGAGAAUAUUUUAUAUAAACAGAGUAAAUUGUUUAAUUUUAUCAAAGACGAAACAAAAUUAUUUUACUUGAAAAUGGUAAUUGGUUCUAACAAUCGGCAGAAGAGAAUGUCAAUUUAUUUUCUGCCAUCACCAUUAAUGUUGUCCAUCUCAGUAACUUGCCUAUUGCAUGAUACUUUCUUGUAAGUACCUGAUGAAGAAUAGGAUCUGUUUGUUUUACUGAAGAUGAAGUUCAGAUUGACAUAGAUUUUUUUAUGAAAAAAUAAUUUUCCUUCCGUUGUUUGUUUGCGUAGCUACGAAACUAAAGUUUUCCUAAUUUUAUUAUUUGUUCGGUAAAAAAAAGAAUGGUGUAAAAACUGAAGGCGUGAUAGAUGAUCAAUUAAUAUCUUAAUUGUUUUCACCUUUUUUUUUUUUCUGUAAUUGAUUUCAAUCUGUAUUUUGGAAACUUUUAGUUUGGAUCGAAUAUAAAACUAUGAUGAAAAUCAUCAAACAACAGAAACGGACAUUUAUGAUCGAAAAUCACUUUACCCCACUCCAUUUUGGUGAAACAAAUUUUAAGACAUUUUUUUUUUAUCCAAAAAGACUUAAAUUUUACAGUUUGGUACAGCUUUUCUGUGCAUUGUGGAGCCAAAGUGGUGGAGUCGAGCGCCAAAUUAAGUCCGACACGCGCCAUUGUCUCCUGCUAGUACAUUUGGAUCAAAGACCAGGUCGAAUUUCUAAACCAGAAGUUCAUUUGCACCCGGACAGGUUGGGUGGAACAUAUAAAAUUAGAUCCAUCUCGCAUGCAAUGACGCAAACAAAUAUAGUCAUAAUGAGCUAGUUUCAAUUAUUUAAUUGUACACAAUUUAGCGCUUAGUGACACUAAAAUGUUUUGCUUAUGUCUUAUGCCACAAAGUGUUGGUACUUAAGCUAAAGAUCUCCUUUGCGGAACCCAUUGAUGAAAAACCAAGCUCAUUAUUGUGUAUAUAUAUAUAUAUAUAUAUUAAUGUUCCCUCUUAAUUAAACAAUAGAGAGGUUACUAACUACAUGAUUCAAUAGUUAAAGCGCCGUAAUUUAAGGUGAACCAAUGAGAGUGAGGCACUUGUACAGAAAAAAAAGAGAAUAAUUCGACUUGCCAAAAGCAUUUUUUACCUUCUAUCACAAGUCAAAAGAUCAUGAAAAGAGUUAAAAUAUAUAUCUAAUUAUUCUUCCAUAAAUCGAGGUACAUGCAUUGUCUCCAUUUCUCACUAAACAAGAUUAACUAAAGUUAAUUAAUGAGUUAAAACCCCUACAAGGUGUGCAAACAAAAACCUCCAAAAAUGCGGAACUAGUUAAGAACCAAAAAAGAUGCUAGAUCACGGUUCAACUGGGGCUUGCCCAAUAGUUCAACCGAGCGAACAAGUGACAUAUAUCACCACAAUAUCAUAUAUAAAUAAUAAAUUAUUAAUUUUCUAUAUAUAAAAUUAUAGAGAUAAAUAAGAUAAAUAAAUAUAUUUUACAAAAAUUCUUCAAGAAAAUCUUAAUCAAAUUGAUUAAACAAUAUAUCCUACCGGCAAUCAUAUAUAGCUAGUAAGUGAUAGUCCAAACCGGUCUAAUUAAAUUCUGACCAAUUCACCAAUUUAUUGGUUGAACCAUCAGUUCAAAUAGGUCAAUAUGUGCUUUAAAAUUUCUGGUUUUGGAGUCAAACUGAACCAUCCUAGGGAUUAUCUCACGGUCCGACCGGUUCGAUUGGCCGGUUCAACCCAGUUUUAAAUUUUUAAUACGUGCACAAAACCUGCAGGGGAGAGAGCCAGAGUCCUAGAUAUUCUUGGAGAAGUUAUGUUUUUUUUUUUUUUUUUUUUUUUUUUUGAGAGAUAGGUAGCACGCUACCCGCUUCGUUUAUUUCAUUUAGAAAUAAACUUAGCUGGAAAUUUGAAUCAACUAGGAUUCGAACUUGGGUCUCGAGUACCAACCACCAAGCCCUUGGCCACUUGCUCUAGGGACGGUCGGUUUGGAGAAGUUGUGUUAAGGAGGAGAAAGAUAAAAUUAAGGCUAAAUUGCACUUUUGGUCCUCAAAUUAUGAGGCGGAAUAUAUUUUGGUCCUUAUAUUUUAUUUUAUUGUAAUUUCUAUCUAUUGCGAUUAUUAAAAUCAAGUCCCACAAUCUUAAUUAGUUAACUAUAUGACAAUAUGUUGGUGAUACGACAAUAAUAUAAUAUAUAUUAAUUAUUAUUUGCCAUAAAAUUCGUACGACAGUAUAACAUCAUUUCAAAUUUAGUAACAUCAUCAUUUAAAUAAUUAAAUUGUCCUGUAAAAAUAGAUUGCAAUAGUUUAGAAUGUGUGAGCCGGAAACUAUAAUAAAUUAAUAUUUCAUGAUCUAACAUAUCAUGCAUCUCAUAACUUAACAACCCAAAGUAUAAUUUAGUCGACAAUUAACCAUCAAACUGUUCGUAAGGAUCUUUGUAGCUUCCUAGCAAGAUAUCCACUUUGUGUGCUAUUUUUCAAUUAACUAUAUAGCCUGUUUGAGGAAUAAAGUAAUAAUUAUUGGUAACUAAUAAAGGUAAUGGAAAGCAAGCAUGUACUAUUGUUUAAAAUUAAGACCAGCCAAUGUGGACACACUACAUGGCAAUAGUUUUUACUAGAAAAAAUUAAUAAUAGUAGCUUAGUAGCAGUUCGACUGGUUUCUAAACUAGCAUUUCAACCUAGAAAAGCAACGAACAGGCAUAUAUUUGAUCUGCAUAUAUCAUAUAGAAAAGCCAAAAUAGUAGCUGAACUACAGUAAGAAGCUCUUCAAGAAUUCAUGAAAACGCAAAGGAGUUGUUAGCAUUUUCUUCAAACAACGAUAAUCAAACAGCAUUCCAAGUGUACGUACUUCAAAUAAUAAACUUAUUAUUAAAAACUUUAAUAGUGAAAAUUUUAAUAAUAAUUUUAGCUGGUGCUAAAAGCUAGUUAUGUAGUAGAAAAAAGUUUUUAGCAAAGCAAUUAAUAGGAAGGUGCAAUGUUCCAUCGCAAUGACUUUAACAAGAGAGAGGCAUUAUGUACCCUUCCCAUGCAUCAAGGAGCAAAAAGGACUAUGAUUAGAACUUAAGACAAGGAAGAUGGAAUAAUUGAGAUUUGUCAUGAUUAAGUAGCACGCUAAUGGUACGCUGAUGUGUCUGCAUGGGCCUCGAUCUGCAUGCAAUUGUAAUAGUACGCCUGGUGUCUGUGUGGGCCUUCCCAUGCUAUUUGCAAAGAAAGCAUAUAUAUAUAUAUAUAUAUAUAUAUAUAUAUAUAUAUAUAUAUAUAGAGUGCGGCUAGGGUGCUUUUGGAAGCACGGAGCGCUCCGUGCUUCCACUUUGUUUUCGAUGUUCGGACUUUCAAAUCGACGAUCGGCUCCGUUAGACUUGAUCUAGAGUAUUUGAAGUAUCUAGAAAAUAAAUUUUGCGAUUUUUCGAUAUCAUUUGCCUAGUGAUCGAAGUGGCUCAAAAUCAACGGCUGAAAAUAAAAAUCUCACAAAAUAUGAUGAUAUGACAUUAAAAUUUUAGAUCGAAGUUAUUGAUCUUGUUUUAUAUGGUAUAAAGAAUUUUCUAUCAAAAUUUCAUGUGAUUUGGAUAUUUCUACACCGUUAAACUUGCAACCGGCUCACCACGACCGUUAAAAUUAUUGAUUUUGAGCCCCUUCGAUCACUAGGCAAAUGAUAUCGAAAAAACGCAAAAUUUAUUUUCUAGGUACUUCAAAUACUCUAGAUCGACUCUAACGGAGCCGAUCGUCGAUUCGAAAGUCCGAACAUCGAAAACAACUUGGAAGCACGGAGGGCUCCGUGCUUCCAAAAGCAUACCAGCCCACUCUCUCUCUCUCUCUCUCUCUCUCUCUCUCUCUAUAUAUAUAUAUAUAUAUAUAUAUAUAUAGUAGGUCUUAUGUGCUAGGAGCACGGAGGCCUUCGUGCUCCUAAGUCGUUUUCGAUGAUGGAGCUUCCGAGUCGAAGAUCAAUUCCUUUAGGCUUGAUAUAGCGUAUUCGAAGUAUCUAGAAAAAAAAAUUUUGCGAUUUUUCGAUAUCAUUUACCUAGCAAUCGAAAGGUUCAGAAUCAACGGCUGAAAAUAAAAAUCUCACAACGAGUGGUGAUAUAGCACUAAAAUUUUCGAUCAGAGAUAUUGAUCUUGCAGUAAAUAGUAUAAAGAAUUUUCUAUCAAAAUUUCAUCUGAUUUGAAUACUUCUACAUUGUUAAACUUGCAAACUGUGAGAUCCCUAGUGUUCAGCUGUGGAGGCUUGCCGACAGCUCUGGAGAGUGUCGGGACAAGUCCGAGUCGCGUUGGCGUCAAAUAGACGCAAAACGGACUCGGUGCGACGCGAUGGCAGCUUGUAGCGAAGAAAUCUGCAAAACAGCAGAUUACUCUGCUUGCUGUACCGGUACAACCAACACGCUGUAGCGGUACAACCAGCGCGCACUGAUAUAGCUGUUCUCGGGUUGGCUCUUGUACCGGUACAGGAGCCCGUGUACCGGUACAAAGGAAAAGGGGGUAGGUAAAGGGUGGUUUGGUCUUUUUCCACCUCGUUCAUAUCACCCUUUCCCUCUCUCUCUAUUUAGGUCUGUGUAGAGCAGAGAGAGGGAGUUCUUUCUUCUUCUCCUCUCUCUCUAGCUGGGUUCUUGAGCACGGUGGAACUCGGGUGAAGCUUGGAUUCGUCGCCGACGUCGCGUCGUGGAGCCAUUCGAGCACACUUUCGACGUUGUGUUGCUGCGAGAAGGUCGGGCGAGUGUGGCUUUUCGCCAUCCUUGACGUCGUGCUGAUUCUAGGUACAUAUUGGGUAGCGCCCACGAGUGCCACUCCGGAGUCAGGCUUUGUGCUUUCGCGUUGGUGUCGCUCAUGCCAGUUGGACUUGCUCUCCACAGACCAGUUAGUGUGGAGGUAGCUGGACAGUCGCAACGGGGCAGGGACGGGUGUAUUCACAGUCCCAGGGACAGGUAUGUUUACAGUCCCGAUUGGAUUGGGUUAGAUUUGACAUUUCCUACAGUUGAUUAGUGUUGAGCAUGAUAGUGUAGUGAUCGAUAGCGGUAGAGUUUACUUCCUGCUUUUCCGACUACUCUUGCUCCUUUCUGUAGACUCAGUCAGUGGACCGAUGUUGUUUUGGGCGGUACCCACUGAGGACUACUUGUUUUUACAGUAGUUCUCACGCCCAGUUGUUACUCCUGUUUUGCAGAGCCACAGGUUUUGGCUGCUGCGCCUUCCGCGGACCAGGAUCGAGGCAAGGGCAUCGCGAGUUAGAGCCCUACCCGACGAGCUAAGCUAGAGGCACCCCUACUGCAGGUAGAUGUUUUGUCUGAGUUUAUGUACAUAGCUUACUUAACUCGCCAGUGCGAGUAACUCUGUAUUUUGGAUUUGGACAAUGUAUAUGAAACUCAGUUUGUUUAGCUUUUGUUUAUUUGAGCAGCUCUAUGCUACUGUUUGUAGUAUUGUAUAUCUACAGGUACAGCUGUCACUUCGUAUACAGGGGAAAAUUCCUUUGUAUACGGUGGAUUUGUCGGCGUGCCUGGGGAACGAGACAUCCGGGGCGUGACACAAACAAUAUACAUCAACUUUUAAAAGUCGUUGAUUUUGAACCCUUUCGAUUGCUAGAUAAAUGAUAUCGAAAAAUUGCAAAAUUUAUUUUCUAGAUACUUUAGAUACGUUACAUCAAGUCUAACGAAGCAGAUCGACGAUUCAGAAGCUCUAUCAUCAAAACAACUUAGGAGCACGGAGGCCUCCAUGCUCCUAAUAGCACACAAGACCUACUAUAUAUAUAUAUAUAUAUAUAUAUAUAUAUAUAUAACCACUCAAAGGACUGAGGAUUCCAAGAGUUUUGUAAAACGAUUUGGACUCUAGUGGUCUAUUGUACCACUUUCCCAACUCAUCUUUGAAAAAUUAAGGCGACAACUUUUACGCGUGAUCAAGAACUAGAAAUCAAAUGGCACAACAUGCAACCUUGUUAACAGCUAGCAUAUCCACAGCAGUAAGUAAGAUGGAAAUUAUAAGGUACCGAACUUCUGUUGUAAGGUACCGAACUUCUAAAAUUAUGAAGUNUAUAUAUAUAUAUAUAUAUAUAUAUAUAUAUAUAUAUAUAUAAUUGAGCUCCUAUGCUUUUAAAAGUACCAAGUUAUUGGUGCUUGUAGAUUUUUAGCUAUUGGAUUAAGAAAUAUGCGGUUAGGAUGAUGUGGGCACCCUAGGGUUGAGUGGGUGGUUGGUUGAAUAGUAUAAUCUAAUGGUUGAAAAUGAUCCGACAAGUAGAUCUAACGGUAAAAAACUUACAAGCACCAAGUGUUUGAUGCUUUUACAAGCACCAUAGCUGGACUAUAUAUAUAUAUAUAUAUAUAUAUAUAGUCAAAUUAUGGUACUUUUAUAAGCACCGCAUAUUUGGUGCUUACAAGUUUUCUAUCAUUAGAUUUAUCUCUUUAAUCAAUUUAAGCUCUUAGAUUAUAUUAUUUUACCAAUCACCCACUCAAUUCUAGAAGAUCUCGAUUAUCCUAACCCCACAAAUCUUCUUUCAAAGGCCGAAAAUUUAUAAGCACCACUGAUUUGAUGAUUUUAAAAGCAUGGGAGUCCAAUUCUCACACUCUCUCUCUCUCUCUCUCUCUCUAUACAUAUAAUCAUAUAUGUAUAUAUAUACAUUUAUACAUAUAUGUAGGGUUGAGUGGGUGGUUGGUUGAAUAGUAUGAUCUAACGAAUAAAAAUUGUCAAAAGAAUAGAUCUAACAGUAAAAAACUUACAAACAACAAAUACUUGUUGUUUUUAAAAACACCAUAGUCGAACUAUAUAUAUUAUUUGCUGUGAAAAUUAAUUUGACUAUACCAAAUUUCUAUUUGAAAGUCAGAAUAAGUUAUUUGGCAAGAAUUUUCUAUUGUGAAUAGAAAUCAGCAGAAUAACAAAGAUUAUAUUUUAAUGUCGAAAUAUGAUAUUCAGUAAUAACUCAUUCAGUAUUUUUAUUUUUUUGUGAUUGAAAGCUAGGAGUUUUAUUUUUUAUCCUUUAAAGAUUUUGGAUUGACAAUCUGUUAGGAUAGUAUAUUCCACCUAUAAGGUGAUUUAUCUUAUUCUGAAAAAAUAACUUAAAAAUUGAGUAUGUAUGAUACCUACUCUAGAUAUUUAAUCACCCUCCCUUUCUAUUAAGUAGUACAUGCUUCUAGAGUAAAUUUAAAACAUAUGGCAAAUAUGAUUAUGCAUCCAAAUAAAGCCUUAUAAGAUAUUCAAUAAUAACUUAUGCAGUAUGAAGCUUGUGCUACAUAAUGGAAGCAAAAGUAUUUUGUUCGUCGAAAGGUCUUAGCAUCCAUAAUUUGGCAAGAUAGUAUAUUUUUCCUAAAAGAUGACUUAUCAUAUUCCAAAAAAAUAAGUUAGAGAAUGAAUAUGUUAUCCAUUCUAGAUAUUUAGUUAUACUCAUCUAUCAAAUACUGUAUGCUUCUUGAGUAAACCGAAAAGAUGUACUGAAUAGGAUAUUCAUAUAUUUUAUUUUUUUGAAAUAAAAUAAAUAAUCUCACAGAUAAAGUUUCUUAUCCUAGCAAAUUAUGAAUGUCAGAUUCAUUUUAGGGCCAAAAAAUAAAGUUUACCUUCCAAUUACACAAAAAAAAUUUCAUGUGGAUUGAGUUAUCAUCAGAUAGCACAUUCCGUUACUCAAAGUAAAGCCUUAAAAAAACUUUAAAGCACUGUAUAAAAUUAACUAACCAAGAUUAGGGUAGCACGUGGAAUUAAUAUUAAGUGUGGUAGGGGUCAUGGAUAAACUAGGUAGCACGUGCCAUUGAUCCCUUAUGGAUGCAUGGUUAAAAAAAGGAAAACUUCAAAUACCCCCUUGUAGUUUCACUUUUUUUCACUUUAGUACCUUAUUGUUUAAAGUGUAUCAAGUUAGUGUCCUGUGGUUUCGCACUUUCUCACUUUAAUAUUCUGUGGUUUAAAGUGUAUCAAGUUAGUACCCUGUGAUUUCGCACUUUUUCACUUUAGUACCAUGUGGUUUAAUAUUUCACUAAGAAAAAAAUAAAAUCACAGGAUACUAACUUGAUAUAAAAAUAAAAUCACAGGAUACUAACACAUUUUAAACCACAUGGUACUAAAGUGAGAGAGUGCGAAACCAAAGGAUACUAACUUGAUACAUUUUAAACCACAGAGUACUAAAAUGAAAAAAUACGAAACCAUAAGGGGGGUUUUUGAAGUUUUCCCUUAAAAAAACAGGGCAAAAAGUGUGCUUAGUUAUUAGGCUUGGUGUUGUCAACUAAUCUGGAACAACUCUUUAGUGCUCUGCCGACAUAAGCUUUUAAUACACUAUGUUAAAAUAUUUAAGAGGUUUCGUGUAAAUUUUAUGAAAAUAUGUACAAAGGGCCCCGACGGAUUUCAUUACAAUUUUUAUCAGAAGUGCUGGGAUAUAGUGACAUUAUUUUUGCAAAGAGAUAUUUAAACCUUUAAUUUUAAUAGUCCAACUUGUAAACUUUAUUGAGUAAUUUAAUAGACCCCUGAUAUUAAUAGACCUCUUUUAUGAAUGAGACGACCUUAUUAAAAAUAAUUGAAAAUUUAGUUCCCAAAUAAUUUCAAUAGUGCAAAUGAAGUCUAACGGAGCCGAUCGUCGAUUUGAAAAUCACAUCAUUGAAAACAACUUAGUAACACUGAGGCCUUCGUGCUACCGAUAGUAUAUCAGCCUAGCUCUAUAUAGAGUUAGUACCAAGUGCUUUGUGCUAUUAGAUUUUCGGGCUUUUAAUAAAGAGGUGUGAAGUUAAGAUGAUUGCUGCCCCCUAAAAUUGAAUAGGCAGUUGGUUGAAUAGUAUGAUCUAGCAGGUGGAAAUGGUCAAGGGGUAGAUCUAACGACAGAAAGCUCGAUAGCACCAAGCAUUUGAUACUAUCGAUAGUAUAGUAGCCGGACUAUAUAUAUAUAUAUAUUCCGGCUACUAUACUCUUAUGAGCACGAUCGUAUUCGUACUCAUAAGUUGUUUUCGAUGAUAGAGCUUCCGUAUCGACGAUCCACACCGUUAAACGUUACCUAGAGUAUUUAAAACGUCUAGAAAUCAACUUUUAGAAUUUUUUAAUAUCAUUUACCUUACGAUCAAUAGCUCGCAAAAUUGAUAAUUUUUAACGGACGGUAUGUGAUACUUGCUAGUUUAACGGUGUAAAAGAAUCGGAAUAGCUUGAAAUUUUGAUAGAAAAUUCAAUUCAUUACCUAGAUAAAGAUCAGUAACCCCGAUCUUAAAUUGAAGGAUCCGAUCAUCUAUUUUUAGAACGUCGUUCGAUUUUGACCGUUCAUUUUAUAUCCGUUUGAUGGACUUUAUAAUGCUUUCGAAAAAUUACGAAAUUUAUUUUCUAGGAGUUUCAAAUACUCUAGAUCGUGUUUAACGGUGUGGAUGGUCGAUUCGGAAGCCCCAACAUCGAAAACUACUUAUGAGUACGAAGGGUUCUAUACUCAUAAGAGUAUUAUAGCCCUACUCUCUAUAUAUAUAUAUAUAUAUAUAUAUAUAUAUAUAUAUAUAUAUAUAUAUAUUAUAAUAUAUUUAUAUGCGGCCUCUGUCUCUCAAAGCAGCGGAGGCCUCUUUGUUGCUCUCUCAGCCGCUUCGAUGCUAUUUUGAAUCGAGUCCUCGAUCGCCUCCGUUAGAUUUAAUCUACACUCAUUUAAGUUUCUAAAAUAAAUUUUUGGCAAUUUUUGAUAUCCUUUGCCUAGUGAUGAAAGUUCAAAAUCUAUAUAUUUUUAAUGUUAUUUAUCUGCCUUUUUUCAGUUUAACGGUGCGGUAAUUUCAAUAUACAAAUUUUUGAUACAAAUUUUAUAUAUCUAACAAAUCAAUAUUUCUGAAUCGAUACAUUUAGUAUAUUCACUACUUCUAUAGGAUUUUUAUUUCAAAGCCAUUAAAAAUAGAUUUUGAAUCCUUUCGCUUGCUAAUAAUAUACAAAAUCGCAAAAUUAUUUUAGAAACUUCAAAUACGCCAGAAUCAAAGUUAACAGCCGAUCGUCGAUUCGCGAUAAUUCAUUAUCAUAAAACCUCGGGCCGCAUCGAUCCUCCGUGCUCCACUGAUAGCACAGCUCCUAUCUCUCUCUCUCUCCUCUCUCAAAAUUGAGCGAUACACUGAGAUUCACAUGCACGUAGAAAGUCGACCGCGAGGCCUAGUGCCUCUUGUUAAGCUUCUAUUCCCAAUUAAAAUUGUUAAUGUGAACUAUGGUACCCGAUCCCACCACAAAAUAUCGCUGAGAAAGAUCCAUGAGCCUCCCCCAUGAAGUCUCACAACUUCGUCGACUGUAUGCUGGCUAUCUUCUUUUCUAUCGUCCUCUCAGUUCCCCCACCAACGUAUUGAUCGAAGCAAAAUCAUCAGUGUGCCGAUUUGUCAACUCUCCGGCUCCAUAACCACUAUACAAUCGGUACAAUUCCACCUUGUGUACUACAGAUUUCACAGCUCGUCAGCAAAGCUUCGCAUUGCAAGUUUCCCCAUUGUUCCAGCUCUACAUGGCUUUCUCACGGUAGCUCUUGCAAUAUCCCGCUGCUCGAUCUCACUACAUCCUCUCUCAAUCGACGCCCUUAUACACAAUCUCUCUCUAAUAUAAUAACUAAUCAUUAUUAUUAUCAAUUAUUUUACUAUGUUGGCAGCUCACUGUGUGCUAAUUAAAAAGCAUGCUAGCCGGGCCACUCUUGUGCUCUCAGAAGCAGGAGCCUCUGUGCUCUCUCGAAGCGCGCUUUCGAUGAUAGAAUUUCGAAUCGACGAUCGGCUCCGUUAGAUUAUUAAUCUAGCAGCAUUUGAAGUUUCUAGAAAAUAAUAUUUUGCAAAUUUUUGAUAUCAUUGCCUAUGAUUCGAAAGUUUCAACCAUCUAUAAUUUUAAAUGAGUUGAUAUCUGCGUUUUCAAGUUAACGGUGUAAAAGCUAUUCAAAUCAGAUAAAUUUUGAACAAAAUUCUUGUGAUUACUAAUCUACAACAACAGAUCAAUAUUUCUGAUCGAAAUUUUAGUUGGCUAUCAUCACGCACUUUUUAUAGACGGAUUUUUUUUCAGCCAUUAAAAAUUAUUGAUUUGAAAUCUUUCGAUUGCUAGAUAAAAUGGAUAUCAAAAAAUCGCAAAAAUAUUUUUUAGGAAACUUUCAAAUACGCUAGAUCAAGUUUAACGGAGCCGAUUGUCGAUUCGAAAAUUCCAUUACAAAAGGACUCGGGGCACGAGCCUCCUGGCUCGCUGAGCAGCACCAGCAGUUCCUACUCUCUUCUCUCGGAGUCUCUCUCGGAUCAGGGUGACGUCUUCUCUCUCCUCGGUUCUCUCUCGCUCUGUCUCUCUCUCUCGUCUCGUCCUCGUCUCUUCUCUAAUAUAUAUAUAUAUAUUAUAUAUAUAUAAUAUAUAUAUAGCAGGGCUAUCUGUGACUAUUAGAAGCAAGCAGACUGUCUAAAUUUCUACCUACCCACUCAAGUUUACUGAGUUGUUAAAAUAAAGAUGAAAGAGAUAUUAGAGAGAAAUUCACGGAGAACGAGAAAUGAAAUACCAAAUUUCUCACCCCAUACUCUGCCCUCUUUCAUUUCGUAGUCCACCCAUCAAAAUUACGACGUUAGAAGUUAGAGCGCAAAAGCUGCUGUGUGCCGCUAAUAGACAGUAACCCGCUUAUAUAUGUAUGGAAGCGCAUAAAGUAGUUUGGUGCUUCCGAUAUUUUUUAAGCCGUUAGAUCAACCCUAUUGAUCAUUUCUAACCAUUAAUAUAAUAUUAUUAAACUUAUGUGGCCACUCAACUCUAGGGGGGCCACUCAACGCAAGGUGGACUCAACCAUAGAAUCUUUAAUCCACAGCAGUAAAAAUCGGAAGCCCAACCUUUAUACUCUUUCGAUAGAUAGUAGCUCUUCACUAUAUAUAUAUAUAUAUAAUAUAUAUUGUUGAGCUAGAAUACCGCUCAAAAAGCACCAGAAAAGUGGUGCUUUUGAGUUUUAGCCAUUAGAUAGAGAUGUAGGGUUUGAUGAUGUGUGGUAGGUGGUCGGUAGGUGGAAUAGUAUUUAAAUCCAAAACUAAUUAAUAAUAAGAAGUAGAUCCGAAGCUAGACAAACUUAGAAGCAGCAAGGGUUGGUGCUUCUAAAAAUAUUCUAGCUCAAUUAUAUACUAAUAUAUAAUAUAUAUAUAAUAUAUAUAAAGAGUGAGGUCUACCUAUGCUAUCGGAAAGCAGCGGAGCCUUCCGGUGCUUCCACUCGUUUUCGAUGUUGACGACUAUCGAAUCGUCGAUCGGGCUCCGUUAAAACUUGAUUAGAGUAUUGAGCAUACCUACCGAAAAUAAGAUUUUAUGAUUUUACGAUAUCAUUUGCCUACUGAACGACGGGCUCAAAUCAACGCGGCUGAAAAUAAAAAUCUUACAAAUUGUAAGUAAUUGACAGUAUAAAGUUAAAUCAAAGAUAUUGAUCUUGUUUUAUAUAGUAUAAAGAAUUUUCUAUCAAAAUUUCACGUGAUUUGGAUAUUUCUACACCGUUAAACUUGCAAACGGCACACUACGGCCAUUGAAAUUUGUUGAUUUUGAGCCCAUUCGAUCACUAGGCAAAUGAUAUCGAAAAAUAAUAAAAUUUAUUUUCUAGGUACUCCAAAUACUCUAGAUCAAGUUUAACGCAGCCGAUCGACGAUUCGAAAGUCACAACAUCGAAAACGAGCUGGAAGCACGGAAGGCUCCGUACUUUCGAUAGCAUAGUAGCCUCACUAUAUAUAUAUAUAUAUAUAUAUAUAUAUAUAUAUAUAAAGAGAGAGAGAGAGAGUAUGGCUACUAUGCUAUUAGGCGCACAGCAGUCCUUAUGCUUUUAAAUUCGUAAUCAUUCAUCAAUUUUGAUAGAUGAUUUGAGUGAGAAAGAAAAGAGAAAUUCGAAAAGAAGAGAUAUUGAAAAAAAAAUCCAAAAAGAAGAAAAAUUGAGGGAGAAAUAAGAGAAACGGGUUAUUAAAACUAAUUAUCCAUCAAAAUUGAUUAGUGAUUAUGAACUUAAGAGUACAAGAACUAUUGUGCUCCUAAUAUUACAGUAGCCUUGCUCGCUCUCUCUCUAUAUAUAUGCUAUUCUAACACAUUAAAAAUUCAAUAAAAAUUAAAAUUAAAUUUAUACAUUCUUCAAUUCCAAUGCUUGAUUACUAUAAUUAGAAAAGAUAAAAUAGAUUUCUUUAUGUAAAGGUAUGCAAAAGUAAGUGCAAAAUAGACAAUCAAAACAGAUGUUCAAUUAAUAAUUUUCCUAUAGAAAAGUGGCCUAUUAAAUUAUUAAAAAUUUAAAAGGUUUAAUUGUUAAAAUUAAAAAUUCAAACGCUCAUUAGCGAAAGUGCUAAAGCUUAGGAGAUCUUUGAACACUUUUUCUCCCUGUUAACACUUGCUUGAUACGGAGGGUUGUCUAAUACUAAUAUACUAUUAAAAAAGUAGAGCAAAAAAAAUUUUUUUUUUUUUGGUGGGACUUUAGAACACAUAUGUUUGCUAAUUUUUUGCUAUAUAUAUAUAACACGUGAUAUUAAUUGAGUAGAGAAUAUUGUUGAUUUAACCUACCUACCAAACAUUUUUCGUACCUGAUUUGUAGUACAUUGUAGUUUCGUUAGGUUCAAUAUGCCAAAUCUAAUUAAGUACCUAUCAACAAUAAUUUCUAUUCUAAUCAAAAUAUUAAAAAUCAUGCUUCAAGUUGCCACAUCGAUAUCUUCAGGUGAGUAGUACUUAAGAGUGACAGGUAAACCAAAUUCAACCAUGAAUUUCGGUAUGUGGACCUAUCAAAAAUCCUACACAUUCAAAGGCUAUCAUGUUUGACAAUCUUAUUAACUUUUUAACUUUAAUACCAAAAAACUAAAAAACCAAUGUUAUCAAUAUACAAAAAGUUCAGGAACCUUUUUUCAAAAUAACCUUAUAUAUUUUAUAAUUGACUAAAUAACUCAAAAUUUAUUUGGCCAAAUAAUUUUUCUUUUGCAUGGCAGUUAAGCGCCACAGUGGAUGUGCCAAGCAGUACGUGAAUUUUUCGACGUAUUCAAGAAGGCAGUGAACGAUUUACGGCUGUGAGACCCCAGAUAGUCAUAUAUAUGAGAUAUAAUAUGGCUAAACUCUUAACCCGGCUUAAGCAUUUUGGGUGGUGGCAAGGCCCAAGAGGUUAAGAGAGUUAAGCGUGCUAGGACGGGAGCAGUCCUAGAAUGGGUAACCCCCUGGGAAGUUGGGGUGUCACAACGGCCUUCUAAAUUUUGUACGAAAAACGGUAAAUCGUUCGCUACUUUUCUAAAACGGUAAACACUUCACCAAUUCUCAGUUCUAAGUUUUACUUUAUAUUUGAAAUCAAAUAUCAAAUUCAAAUUUAUAUGUUUAAUUCAAAUUUAAAAUUUUAAUUCAAAUCUUUGAAUUUGAUUUUAGUUUCAAAUUUAUAUUUUGAUUUAAAAUAUCAAUUCAAGUUCACAUUCAGAUUUUAAAUUCAAAAUUUUAGUUUAAAUUUUAAAUUUUAAUUUUGAAUUCAAAUUUUAAAAGUUAAAAUUAAAAUUAAAAUUAAAAUUCAGAUUUUGAAUUCAUAUUUUUAAAUUCAAAGUCAGAUUUGAUUUGGAAUAUCAAUUCAAAUUCACAUUUAGAUUUUGAAUUAAUGAUUUCAAAUUGAAAUUUAGAUUCUAAUUUUUGAAUUCAAAUUUUGAAAUAUAAUUCACAUUUUGAAUAUAAAUUAUAAGUUUAAAUUUAGAUUUUGAAUACAAAUUCAAAUAUCAAAAUCAAAAUCCAAUUUCAAUUUCAAAGUCAAAAUUCAAAAUUUGAAUCUCAAUUCAAUUUCUAAUCCAGUUUUAAAAUUGUAUCUUUCAAUUCAAAUUCAAAAUUCUAAUUUCAAAUUCUUAGUUUAAAAUUAAAAUUUUAAUUUUAUUUGAGAAUUUGAAUCUAAAAAGCGGCGUUUAGGGUUUAGGGUAUCCACUUAAAAGUGGUGAAUUAUUCACCGUUUCACGAAGUUGGUAAACGAUUUAUCACUUUCGUAAGAAAUUUAGAAGGUGGUGAAUAUACUUAUCAAAUUCAUUCACCACAUUCUUAAAUACUGUGAACGAUUCACCGCUUUUAAUAUAUUUAUCCAAUACCAUGCCGAGUUGGCAACCAAAAGAGUAUUUAGCCAAAUAAAUUUUUUAGAAGGUUAUUUAGUUAAUUAUAAAAUUUUAUACAGUUAUUUGGAAAAAAAAAAGGACCAAAGUUAGAAUGUUAAUUUUACACUCUACUAAUCAUAUGUAAAGGUCCACACUAUGUACUAAUAUUGUUUUUUUUUUUUUGGGUACAAAAGCUCAAAAGAAUGUUAUAAAUCCUGGAAUGGUGGGUCUAAGAUAUGGAACCUAAUUAUACAUAGCAUUAUUCUUUCAGUUUUAGUUUGAAAAAUAAAAUUUUGGUUAUUUCAUGAAGGAACUCCCUAGUUAACAAUCGGCUCUCGCAAACUUGAUUUAGAGUAGUUAAAAUUUUUAAUAUUCAAAUCUAAUAAGUUACAGAUAUUAUUUAACUAAUAAUUGAAAUUAAUGGCACAAAAUUGACAAUUUUAAUAAUCAAUAUGAAUCAUUAAUUUGCAUGCUUAACAGUAUAAAAAUUACACUCUUUAAAUGAAAGUUUUACCAUUUGAAAAAUAGUUAUACUAUUUCUCCCCCAACGAGCACCCUUUGAGAUGAAAAUUAUAAUUUUCAAAUGAAAAUUACACUAUUUGGGAGCUAAUUACACUAUUUUCCUUCCAAAUAGUAUAAUUUACGUUUAAAGAAUGUAAUUUUCAUCUUAAAGAGUACAAUUUAUAUCUCAAAAAAUACAAAUUAUAACUAUAAUAGUGCAACAUUUUUCUAAGGGAUAAUUGCCUCUAUACCCCUCAAAACUUCGAAAAUAUCUCAUUUACCCCUACUUUUUUUUUCUUACCAAUAUACCCCUCAUAUAUACCCCCGUUAUUCCAAAAUAUCCCUGCAGUUACCACCUGUUACGUUAACUUGAAUUAAACGUGAGUUAAAUAUCUAUCACAGUUAAAAAAAAAAUAAAAUACUACUUCUGUCCUUAACUUAGGGGCAAAUAAGAAAUAUUGGUGAUGAUAGAAGGGUAUAUUUGAAAAGACCAAAAAGUAAAAUAUUUUUUGUGCCCCUAACUUAAUGGCAAAUAAGAAAAGUCGGUGAUGGUAGAAGAGUAUAUUUGAAAGGGCAAAAUGGUAAUUUCAUAGAGAUAACAGAGUUCAUUAACAGAUUUUAACUUUAGGGGUAUAUUAGAAAUAGGUUGGAACGUAAAAAGGGUAUUUUCCAUAUUAGCCUUUAAGAGGGGUAAAUCAGAAUGUCAGAAACUUUUCAGGGGUAUAUAAGCAAUUGCCCUUUUUUCUAAAAGAGCGUAACUUUAUUUUAAUAGUGCAACUUUAUCUUCUUCUUCCUUCUUCUCUAGUUCUUCUUCCUUACUCUCUAGGUUUUUAUUUUUAGUUAGUUUUUUUCAUUUUAAGCAAACAAAAAUACUUGACCAGAAAUGCUCCCGUGCACUCCCCGCCUUCGAUACUGCCGAGGCCACGCUCGUUGCUACUCUCUAGGACGCCGUGCUCACCGCCGCCCCGCCCUCUUUUCUGAUGUCGUCAUGCUCUCCUCUGUUUCCACCUCGCUCGUCGUUGGCCGUGGAUGGGCGCGGUGGGUCGUGUGUCCCCUCCCUCGCCAGCGAAUAUUUUGGCGCCGAGAAACGUUUCCUUUUCAUUGUCGUCAGCGGCGAUAAGGACAGCGAGUUCGUAGAAAUAGAUUUGGUGGGUGAAAAAUCUGCUGCAAUGGAGGUGGAGGUGAGUCGCAAAGGAUCACGGAGGUGGUGGAGGUUUGGCUAGAAAAAAAAAAAAAAAAAAAAAAAAAAAAGAUGAUCAUGGCGUAGCCUUGGUAGGGUUGGAGGCGAGGAGAGCGGGGGGUGAGCGAGCGCGGUCGAGGGCGCAUGGGGUGGAGGUGAGGAGGGGCGUCCCAAAGGGCGGCGGCGAGCACAGCCUUGGUGGGGUCGGAAGCGAGGAGGGCAUGUGGUGCGCGGACAAGGGCGAGGGCGAGGGCGAGGGCUCUCCGCCUCUCUCUUCCGAGAGGAAAAAAAAAUGAAAGAAAAAAAAAAGAAGAGAGAAAGGAAUAAGUGUAUUUUAGUCCAUUUUUGAAAAAUUCGAUCCGAAUUUGCAAAAUUGAAAAAGACGACUCAAUUUUACAAAAGCUCAAAACUUGUGAAUUUUUUAUGCAAAUUGGCCAUAUUUAAUACUAAACUACCACCUAACUUACAAAGCCAAACAGAAAGCCAACAUAAAAUAUGAAACAGUUCAACCAAUGAAAAACUAUACAAAUCAUGUUAAGGAUCUAAGUUUUCGUCUACACUAUACUUUAAUAUUAUUGUUAUUUAUUAUAUUUUUCUUAGGGUUAUUUGCAUACACGUCCCUGCAAACAUAGUGAAUUGCGAAAAUAUUCCUGCAAAACAGAAAUUCCAUAAGUUGUCCUUACAAAAGUCAUAAGUUAUGCAGAUAUGUAUCUCUGGUUAACAUCCGUUAGUGAACUAUUUAUUUUUUAAUAGUUUUAUUGUGAAAUGACCUUUUUGCCCUCACAAAUAUAUCCCUCCAAAAAUAUUCCUCUUCCCCUUCUCUUUUCCUUCCUCUUUGGGCUGCCGGAGCGGACGACGGUGGCGGCGCGAGGUCGGGUUCGCCAAUGACGAAGAAGAGGGAAGUGAAAGAAAGAGAGGAAGAAGAAGAGGGAAGAAGAAGAAGGAGAGGAAGAGGGAAGAGAAAGAUGAAGAGUGGGAGGGUUCGCCGCCGCGCGCCGUCGCCGCAUCUCCUCCCUCGGCGGCGACGAAGAAGAGGGAAUAGAUAGAGGAAGAGGAAGAAGAAGGGCGAAGAGGAAGAGGGAGAGGAAAAGGAAGAGGGAAAGGGCUCGCGGCCGCCGCCGCAUCUUCUCCCUUGCCGGCGACGAAGAAGAGGGAAAAAGAAGAGGGAGAGGAAGAAAAAGGGGAAGAGGAAGAGGGAGAGGAAAAGAGAAGAGAGAAGAGGAAGAGGGAGAGGGUUCGCUGCCGUCGCCGCCGCCGCCGCCACCGCUGUAUCUCCUCCCUCGCCAGCGACGAAGAAGAUGGAAGAGAAAGAGGAGGAAGAAGAAGAAGGGUAAAACUGUCAAUUCAUAAUUUAAUUAACUAUGGUUAAGUAUUUUAACCGUGGUUAAUAUAAUUUUUCUAACAAACCUUAAUGGUAGGAACAUAUCUGCAUAACUUAGGUCUUUUGCAGGGACAAUUUAUGCAAUUUCCGUUUUGCAGAGAUAUUUUCGCAAUUCACUAUGUUUGUAGGGACGUAUAUGCAAAUAACCUUUUUUUUUUAAUAGCGCCAUUGUAUUAUUAUAUUUUAUUAAUUUCUACAUUAUAUUUUAAAAUUAUUUUCGUUUUUGUAUCCUAUAAUAUUUUAGUUUGGAUUUUUUUUCGUUGAUUCUGUUUUAAUUUAGCUUGUAACCUAAAUCAAAUAAAUUAAAACAUGCAUAUCCCUAGUUCUAAAUAACUGCUGACACCAAAUAGAUUUCCCUAGUGACAACAAGAUUGCGAGCCCAACUCUUAAAGUACACGUGUCCUCGCUUAUGAAGAUCACAUUUAUUGGUGAGUAGCUCCCAGCCCCAAAUUUAUUUCAUGACAAAAACGUUUCUUGAACUUUGGAUUAAUUAAUUCGAUAAUAUCGCAUAAAGCUUCAUUUAGUGACAUAUUAUAAGCACCGACAUUGACCUACGAAAAAACGUUACCACUGUAAAAGGACUAAAACGACCUGUGAAGUUGUUUAAUUAUAUAUGUUAAUUUUAAAGGGCAAAAUUAUCACUCUGCAACAUUAAUAGAAACAGCGUGAUAUUAAAAAAAAAAAGAAAAUCAUAUAUCCACAUGGACACCCACCUUAGCAAGUUAAUUAUCUCCAGUCAUUAAAAUUUAAAAGUUAAACAGAUAAUAUCUUUUUUUACAUUGAGUUUUUCCUUUUUUUUUUCGAACUCUAUCCUACAUGUAUUUUAUCUUGAACUUUCUUAAUUUUACAAUUGUAUUUUAAUUAAGUUUUUAUCACCACAAGUCUAUUAAAUCAUAUAUAGAAAUUGCAACGUGGCCUAGUUUGAUGUUGCUACAUUAAAUGUUGUCUAAUUGCCUCUAAUAUAAGUAAUUUCUGGUAAAUUUAAAAACUUGUUGGUUAUAUAAAUUCACCUAAUAUGAUUAGUAUAUAUGUUAAGAGAGUUGGACUGGGCUACUAUCGAUAGUGAAUGAUAAAUGAUUUGGUUUGGUAUCGAUUUAUUUUCGAUGAUAGAAUUUGCAAAUCAAUGACCGGCAUCAUUGAAUAUGACCCAGACUAUGUAAACUAUUUAGAAAUCAAAUUUCAUACUUUUUUCAAUAUUACUAACCGAAUGAUCAAAAUGUCACAAAAUUUAUAAUUUUUCUUUUUUUUGAGAGAGAUAGGGAGCAUACUACCUGCUUCGUUUAUUUUAUUUAGAAAUAAACUUAGCUGGAAAUGUGAAUCAACUAGGAUUCGAACUUAGGUCUCGGGUACCAACCACAAAGCCCUUUGCUACUUGCUCUAGGGACGGUCGGUACAAAAUUUGUAAUUUGAAUGGCCAAUAAAGUGUGUUUGCUUGUUUAACGGUGUAGAAGAGUUCAAAUCAGCUGAAUUUCUAUCGAAUUUUUUUUAAAACUAUUUAAAGCAAGAUUUAGACUUUAGAUCUUAAAUAAAAAAAAUUAUAUCAACAUUUUUUAAAGAAUAUUUAUUUUCAGCCGUUCAUUUUAUGUUUAUUUCAUAGACAAGAGAACAAUAUCGAAAAAGUAUAAAUUUAAUUUUCAGAUAGUUUAAAUUAUUCUAGAUCGUGGUCAACGGAGUCGAUCGGCGAUUUGAGAGCUCUAUCGUCGAAAAUAAAUCAGUAGUAAAUUGAUAUGCUUACUACCGAUAAUAUUUUAGUAGAACUCAUAUUAAGAAUUAAACUAAAAGACAACCCCUAACAUAAGUGGCAAAAGAUUUGGUGGCUGGUACCCGAGAUUCCAAAUUUGAAGUCUAAUUGCUUCACAUUUCCAGCUAAGUUUAUUUCUAAAAAAAUAAACGAAACGGAUAUCAUGCCAUCUUUUUCUAAAAAAAAAGAAUUAACCAUAAAAAGUUAAAGAUUGAAAAUUAAUAUUAAAAUAAAUGGCGCAAUGUACCCUUUACUUAUUAAGGGGCUCUUCGAUUGCAUGUAAUUAAGUACUUCUACAUUAUAAAUCUCGAAUUUAAACAAAAAAAAAAAAAACUUUGCUAUCUAAUUAUUCGUUAAAUAACAAAAAAAAAUGUAAAUUAUUUAAAAUUAUUGUACUCAAUAAUUGUUAUAAGAUAUAUACGGCGUUAGGAACUGUUUCUAUCAAAUUUUUGUUGUAAGCAAUUACGUGCAACAAAACAAUUCAAAGAUUAAUGAGACGGCUCCAAUUACGGAACUGUUGGCAACGCGGGGACCAUCCAUUUAUUUUUCUAUUUCUCCGCACCCGCCUUUGUAUGCGCCCUACGGCACCUGGGCACCGCCGCCGAUCAAUCAGGUCCGUCCAUCCGAAACGGACGACGGUUGAUGCCGAAGUCGAGGCUUUACAUGCUCCCAUCCGUCUCGAUCCGCGCGAUUGCGUGGGGGCCCAUCGCGUCCGUCCCCCUCGGCGUGGGGCCCGCGACAGUUGGACGGUCGUGAUCGGCUCUGGCGCCGCUCGUUUGUCGCGUUCUUGUGUCCUGCGCCGCGUGGGACGCGCGUGGGUACGCAGAGGGGGAUGAGUCGUUUUGGUUAGAAAUAUCUAUGCAUUUCUAACGGUCUUUUGGGUGCGCGGAUACUUGCAUGGGAAGACGAGUUCGGGAUAGGGAUGCAAAUGGAUCCGGAUUGGUGGAGCUCCGCCCCGAUCCGUCCCGAAUGGGGUGGUAAGUGGGAAUAAAAAAUAUAAAAAAAUAUAACCCGUCUCGAAUCCGUCCCGAUCCGCCAAGUAAAUGGAGCGGGAGGUGGGAGACUCUUUUCUUCCUUCAAUCCGUCCCGAUCCGUCAAAAAUCCGGCUCCCGCCCCGAUCCGCCCCGAAUUGAGCGGUAAGUGGGAGCUAAAAAUAAAAUGAAAAGUAACCCGCCCCGAAUCCGCCCCGCCCCGAUAAGAAAUGGACCGGGAGGUGGGGGAACUCUCCCGCCCCCGGAUCCGCCCCGUUUGCAUCCCUAGUUCGGGACCUGUUGAUGUAGAAUUAUCUAAUAAUAAUAGGAUUAAUUUUACUGACCGUUCCUAAAGCAAGUGGUAAAGAAUUUGAUGAUUGGUAUUCGAGAUCUAAGUUCGAAUCCUAACUGAUUCAUAUUUUCAGUUAAGUUUAUUUUUAAAUGAAAUAAACGAAGCGGGUGGCGUACUAUCUAUUUCUCUCAAAAAUAAUAGGGUUAAUUUCAUUUGUAACCACACAGAUUUAUAGAAUAUCAUAAAUAUUCUUCAAAUUUUUAAAAUUUCUCUAAAUACAAAUUUCUUUCAUAAAUACCCUCACUGUUAUUUUUUUCUAACUUUUGUCAACUUAGCUUUUUUUUUUUAUUUUACUUCAAAAUAUGAAAUUAUCAAUUUACUCUUAAUUUGUUCACUAUUUAUUUAAAGAGUUAAUUUCAUCCGUAACCCUCUAAAAAAAUAUCAUAAAUAUCUCUAUAAAUUUUGUUAUAUUAUAAUUAUCCUUCUAAAUACAUAUUUUCUUUCAAAAAUACCCUCGCCGUUAUACUCCGUCUUUUCAAGUCAUAUUAACUUUAGUUAGAUGGCGACCUAACACGAGUUAAAAUUUGAAAUGUUUAUUUUGCCCAUGAGUAGAGGAAUUUUUGGAGGAUAUAUUAAUUAUAUAAUUUAUUAUUUAAUCUCUCAGUUUCGUUCAUUAUUUGUUAUUAACAUAUGUUUUAACAUUGUUUGCUGAUAUUCUUUAGUACUAUUUACCUUCUAACUUUUGUCAAUUAUUUAUUAUAGUUAGUUAUAUUUAAAUUUUUAGUUAACUUAGAUUGCUCUUUUAGCUAUUACUUAUUAUAUAUUUUUUCUUUUAACUUCUAGGAAGUAAUUGAAAUUAUUAAAUUUGUCGGAAUCAUCAAUGGAUUGAUAAAAUCUCUAAUUUAAUUGACAAAAAUCAAUCCAAUUUUAAGGAACCAAAUAUUAAGAAUACUUUGAUAAAAAAAAAAAUAAAUUAAGGGGCUAUUCGUAAUGUAUAAUAGUUAAGAAAAUCUCUAUAUAUUAACCUUAAAAAAUUUGUGAGAGUAUUGAUGAAAAUGCAUAGAGGGUAAAUUCGGUGUUUUGAAUCUGUUAUACUUAACAUGACGGAGUAAAAGCUAUGAGGGCAUUUUUAAAAUUUUUUAUAUUUUUUGAGGGCAAAUAUAAAAUUUCAAAAUUUUAAAGGGUAUUUAUGAUAUUAGAGCUAUUUGGAAGGGUACUGACGAAAUUUUUCAAUAAUAAUAAUAACAAUAAUUUAAGUAAAAAUUUACAAAAUUUGUCUAAAUUAUAAAUUAUUUUAAACCAGCUAUUCAAAUUUUAAACAUUUAAUUUUACUAUCUAAUUUUAAAUUUAUAUGUUUUGAAUCUGUCAAAUGCAUUUUGACUUCAAAAUAAAUUAAUUACUUAACUUAAUGAGUUCAUAAUUAUAAAAAUUACACGAAGCAUUCUAUCUAAAUCUGCUAAGAUAAACAACUCAAAUUUUAAAAUCAGAGUAUUGUUUACUAACACGUUAUCAAACAAAUUGAAUAGAAAAAUUAAAAUUUUGAAAUGUUGGAUAUCCAAAUCAUAAUGGUUCAUACUUUAGGUAAGUUUUGUACACUUUACCAAUAAUUUAUUCAUUAUGCAUUAUUUUUAUGUGUUUGAAAAAUAGGAGUUUAUAUUAUGCUUCUUUGAAAGCCUUGAUGUUACAUACCGUCCUGAUGCAAGUGGCAAAAGGUUUCGUGUUGGUACCCGAUGUCCCAAGCUUGAAUCCUAGUUGAUUCACAUUUUUAGCUAAGUUUAUUUCUAGAAAAAAAUAAACGAAGCGGGUAGCAUGCUACCUAUCUCUCUAAAAAGAAAGCCUUGACGUUUAUGAUUUUUUAGGAUAGUACCUUUUAGAUCAAUUUGCAUAAAAAAUUCAUUAGUUUUAAGCUUUUGCCAAAAGUAGGCUGUCUUUUCAGAUUUAUAGAUUCGUGCUAGAUUUUCAGAAAACUAACCAAAAUACCCUUAUUCUCUUUUCUCUCUCCUCUUUUUUUCUCUCGUUAUUUUUUUCUUUCUCGCCAAAAAGAGCUGCGGAAGCGGAGGCGGAGGCGGAGGCGACACGUGCCCUAGCCCUCAUCCGCGCACCCUCGCUCCCGCCCGCGCACCCUUCCUCCGCCUUCCUUAUCUCCGACCCCAUCGAUGCCACACUGCGACUUUCUUAUUUUUUAUCUCCGACUCUCCUCCACCGCCUCUCCGGUUCUUCACAACAGUAAAGAGGGCAAUGUCACGUUCUCUUUAUUUCAUUUUUUUCUCUCAUUUUUUUUUCUCUUCGACCUACCUCCACCGUCUCCAUGACCCUCCGCGAUAAUAACGAGAACAGCGCCGCAUCCUCUUCCUCGGCCUUCAUCACCGCCAACGUCGACGCCGGUGCGGGUGCCGAUGCUGGAGAAGGAGAACUCGAGCGAGUGCGGAUAAGAGUGGAGUUGAGGAAACAAAAUACAGAAAAUAAAAAUAAUAAAAUAUAAAAUAUAAAAAAAAUAUUUUUUUCUACAAAAAAAAUAAAGAAUCAGAGAGAGAAGAAGAAGAUGAUUAAAUUGCACUGUUUCAAGGGAACGUUGCGCUGUUUUAGAAAAACGUUGUGCUAUUUUAGAGAAAACUUACACUCUUUAAGAAGAAAGAAGAGGAAGAGGAGAAACAGUGUAAUUUUUUUUAAAAAAGUGCAACUUUCGUUUAAAGAGCGCAAUUUUCAUUCAAAGAGUGUAACUUUCAUCUAAAAAAAUGUAAUUUUUUUUUUAAAGAGUGUAAGUUUUCUCUGAAGCAGUGCAAUAUUCUCUUGAAUCAGUACAACGUUCUCUUAAAACUGUAUAACAUCAUCAUCUUCUUCUUUUCUCUCUAAUUCUUUAUUUUUUUUGUAGAAAAAAUAUUUUUUCUUUAUGUUUUAUUUUUUAUUCUUUUUAUUUUUUUAUUUUCUUCAUCUUUUUUUCUCGUUUCCGCUCUAUCCGCACUCACUCCGAGUUCUUUUUCUUCAACGCCGGCAUCGAUGCUAUCGCUGGUGAAGAUGGAUUAAGAGGAUCCGGCGUUGUCUUCGUUACCGUCGUAGAGAGUCACAGAGAUAGUGGCCAUCGAAGAGAAAAAAAGAAGAAUGAGAGAAAAAAAGAAGAGGAAGAGGACAUGACGUUGCCCUCUUUACUGUUGUAAAGAACUGAGGAGGCGGUGGAGGAGGAAGGUAGGAAAGAAAAAAAAAAAAAAAAAGUCGCGGAGUGGCCUUGGCGUGGUCGGAGGCGAGGAAGGCGGAGGGAGGAUGCGCGGGCGAGGGUGAGGGCGAGGGCGAUGGCGUGCAGAGUAAAGGCGAAGCGGCUGCCUCCGCCUCCGCCUCCACCGCCCUCUUCAAAGAGAGAAAAAAAAAAAGAGAGAGAAAAAAAAAGAGGAGAGAGAAAAGAAAUUAAGGGUAUUUUGGUCAGUUUUAUGAAAAUUCGGCCCGAAUAUAUAAAAUCCAAAAAUAUGACCUACUUUUGCAAAAACUCAAAACUAAUAAAUUUUUUAUACAAAAUUGGCCUAUCUUUUUUACCUAUGGAAUGUUUUAUUUUAUUCAAAAAAAUGUUAUAUAUUUCUUGAGUAAAUCAUACUCUUCACUUAUCAAACUCUAUAUACUUCUUGAGUAAAUAAAAAAAAUAUCAAAUAAAAUAUUUAUGCAUCAAAACAUGGCAAAACAUGACAUCUGAUUAUACUUUCCUCUUCCAAAUACAAAAGGUCAAUUCUGAAUGAAUCAAAAAGAGCUUAGUCCAAUAAAAUUUUCAUACAUGUGAGCUCUCCGCCAUUUAUAUAUAAACAGCUAAACUAUCAACCAAUCAUGCAUGAUAUUUUACAAAAUUGAAUCACUAACUAUAAUUUGAAGCUAAUAUUUUCAAACACCAUAACAUUUUGCUAAGAUAAUCAUUGGAAACGAGCACGUUAUGCAUGAAAAUGAUUGGAGAGAGACUAGUCAUUCGAUGAGGAGACCCACAUUUUCAGACCUAACAAGGAGGAAGCACAGUAACUAUCCCUCUCCUUCGUUUUGUCCUUUGCCUCUUUAUACUAAUGGCCCUCCAUUGAUGCAACAUACUGCGUAACUAACCUCUCCUUAUCCAAUAAAAAAUAUAUGGGAUAAUUAAUUACAUAUUGAUCGUAAAGUAAAUGAUGUUUAAGAAUUAUAAAAUUUAAUUUCUAAAAAUUUUAAAUGCUCUAGAUAACGUUUAACGAUAUGGAUCGUCGAUUCGGAACCUCUAUCAUCGAAAAUGACUUAAGAAUACGAAGACGAUUGUACUCAUAAAAGUAUAGUAGCUGGAUCUAUCUAUCUUUAUAUGUUUGAUCUCAAAAUUAACAUUCAUGUAAAUUCUAAAAACUUUUGAAUAUAUUGUUAGGGACCAAUCAAGCACCAUUAUCCCAUUAUCCUCCACGUUGCUAACAUUGAAUUAGUGAUUAAGAAUAUUGUAAAACGAAGGGAAUAGAUUAAACCGUUUUAAUUGAUUAGUUGCAAAAAAUGUUAAUGAAAUUAACUUAAUCUUCUUCUUUUUUUGAGAGAGAGAUAGGUAGCACGCUACCCCGCUUCGUUUAUUUCAUUUAGAAAUAAACUUAGCUAGAAAUGUGAAUCAACUAGGAUUCGAACUUGGGCCCCGAGUACCAACCAUCAAGCCCUUUGCCACUUGCUCUAGGAAUGGCCAAUGAAAUUAACUUAAUCUUAAUACUUGUAUUAAGCAUCAGGACUUAAUUAAUGGCGACCAUACUAGAUCAUAUAAAAAGAUUUGACUAGUUAAUUUGAAAUAUACUUUAAAGUUCAUGGACAUUUGGAUGAUAUUUUAAAGUUUGACCGACCAUCCCUAGAGCAAGUAGCAAAGGGCUUGAUGGUUGGUACUGAGGUCCCAAGUUCGAAUCCUAGUUGAUUCACAUUUCUAGCUAAGUUUAUUUCUAAAUGAAAUAAACGAAGCGGGUAGCGUGCUACCUAUCUCUCAAAAAAAAAAAAAGAAAAAAAAAGAAGAUAUUUUAAAGUUUGAGAGAUAAUUAUGCAAUUUCUUAAAUUCAGAGGAAUAUGUAAUUGUAACUUAAUUGCAAUCUGUGACACCCUAAUAAUCCCACAUCGGGUAGUUAUGACUAGAUGUGGGAAUAUAUAAGUUUGACUAGACUAAAUAUAAUAACUGAGUUUAAGAAUUUUGGGCUGGUGAUAUGGGCCCAACGAGUUAUUAUUGCUAGUGGGUUGGAUCGUUAUAUUUGGUAUCAGAGCCAAUUCACCAGCCGAAAGUGUGAGAUGAAUCUUGGCUGAGCCAGAGUCGGUGAAUGACAGGCUAAGUCAGAAUCAGAACGACAAGGCUAGCGAGACAAGUUUCACAGUUUUGUUAGUUAAUUCGCGAAUUAUUUAUUCAUGAAUUAUUGAAAAUAUUUAUUCAUGGAUUAUUGAAAAUUCGAAUUAAACUGUCCGUUUACGAAUUAUUCGCGAAUUAUUAAAAAUCUGAAUAAAAAAUUAAUAAUUUUUAUAUUUAAAUAUAGAUUAUCUUAUAUCUUAUAUUUUAUAUUUUAUACCGAAUCUAUUUUUUAAGCCGAAUUUUUCAACGAAUUUAAAAAUUAAAAAAUAAAUUUUAUGCGUAUUAUACCGAUACCGAAUUUUUGGCGAAUCAGAAUUGCAUACCAUUUCGUACUCAUGAUUAUGAUGGAUAAGGAAAUAUUUGUGGUCCAUACAAAGGGUGGUGAGCUAGAUCUUCCUCUUAGUCUAGUGGACAUUUAUUUAUUUUUUCUUUCUCAAGGUGAACAUGUUGAACUGUUGUAUAAUUGAUUAUUAUUUUAUAGGCGAAAUCAAAAGUAAGAGAUCUUAAGUUUAGGGUUAAAUAUAAAAUGAUAGUCUACUUCUUGAGCCUAUUGAUUGAGUGUUAAAAUAUAAAAAGUUUAAACUAUACUUCUACAUUAGCAAUAAUAAUAUUCUAAUUUAUGGCAUUCUAGUCCCACGAUCAAUUUAAUUAAUUAAAUAUUGACAUAUCGAUAAUGUAAAAGUGAUAUGUGAGUGUUGUAAUUGAUAAUAUGUAAUAGUAAUUAAGAUGGUACAUUAUUUUUAUGUCAGCAGUAUAUUAAUAUUUAGCCAACUAAAUUAUAUUAUGGAAGUUUGUUUUUGUAAUAUAUAAUUUCGGGAGUUGAAGCAAAAUGUUACCCAUACUUUUGAGGACAAAAAUGUAGUUUAGCUAAUAUAAAAUAGGAAAAGUCUACCUGUACCUAUAAAAUAUGGGGAUGAUUGCAAAUAUACCUCUCAAUACUUUUGAAAUAUCUUAUGAAAAAUGCUUCUUGUAGACCCCAAAAAGGGGUGUAGAUCUUACACCCGCUAUAUUAGGGUUGAUAAAAACCGAAUUGAUUUUUAGUAAAAUUUAAAAAAAACUGAUGUAAUAAAAAUUACCUUAGAAUGAAGUGGGUGUAAAAUGUACACCUCACUUUAGGCUGUAUAUGUAGUAUUGCUCAUAUCUUAUUUACCUAUACUUUUUAUGGUCCUUUAUUCAAAAAUAUCCUUACUGUUAGUACCCGUUAAGUUAUCUUGUAUUAAAUCCGAGUUAUAUUUCUACCAAAGUUUUUUUUUUAAAAAAAAAUCAAAAUAUCUCUUUUGCCCCAUGACUUAAGGACAAAUAAAAAAAGUUGGUGACGAUGUAAGAAUAUAUUUGAAAGAGAACAAGUCAAAAUAUUUUUUUUGUCCCUAACUUAAGAACAAAAAAGAAAAGCUAGUAACGGUGGAAGAUUACAUUUGAAAGGAUAAAAUAAUAAUGUUACAGGGAUAACGGUUGUUCCUAAUAGUUCAAGUAAUAAAAUCUAUCUACAGGCGGGGUAUAUAUUUAAAAGAAUUUAGAAUAUUAAAAAAAUAUUUUUAAUAUUAGCUUUCUGGGCUUGCUAAAUAAGAAAGUUGAAAAUUUUUCAGGAUUAUGUAAGCACUGGCCCAUAAAAUAUUAAUAAGUUUAGAACCGACUCACCGGAAGAAGUAUUAAAUAUAAAAAUAUUUUAGAGGCAAUUUCUAACGUGCCCCUCAAAAGUUACAAAAUAUUAUAGGGGCAAUCAAGGGUAGAAGGAAGGAUAAAUAUGAAAUUAAUCCAAUAUUAUAAGUGUAAUAUUGUUCUCUAACAGUUUAACUGUUUAAGUAUUUGAAAAUAAUCAUUUAUAGGGAUUAGGGGUUGUUUAAUUCCUAUGAAAAGUGUGAAAAAGAAAGUGUUCUAGGAUAAAAGUUUUUCAUGAUUUUCUCUUAAAAUUUGAAAAAGAAAAAACAAACUUUUCAAAAUAGCUAGUUUUUUUUUUUUUUUUUUUUUUUUUUUUUUUUUUUUUUUUUUUUCCGAAGAUCGAAAUACCUCUGUAUUUUUUUUACGUAAUUUAUUCUUACUCUCUUGGAUAUAAAUUAUGACCACUAUUAAUAAAAUCUUAUAACAAGUUACAAUAUUUAGGUAAAAAUGUAUGAACUUAUCUGUGCUGCAGACUACUUUGCUUCGAUUAUCUCAUCUCUCAAAAAUUUAAUUUUAGUAUACUGCCCUUCAAUUUAUUUAAUUUAGUUCAUUUGAUGAUAAUUUUGGGAAAAAAUUUAAGUUAAUUACGUAAUUUAAUAGAUUUAUAGUUAUAUGAAUUGAAUUAAAUAUAUUAAUUAUAUCGGUAAAAAUAAACAUCACAAUUAAAUUUAAAAAUUUAAAAUUUAUUAACUAAUUCAAAUUAAAUUAAUUAUUUAAAUUAAUAUUUUAUAGAUCAGAUAGUCCGAUCAAAAUAGACAAUGAGUGAAAUAAAUUUUUUAUCUAUUGUCCUAUUAUUUAGUUAGUUUACGACACGAAUGACGUUGAAGGGCUUAAAUGAUCAAUAAUUAACCCUAUUACAUACCAAGAGUUUGUUCGGAAAGACAUGUUAAAACAUUCGCACAUUGCCAGUGGAGACAAACAUUUGUGACAACCAUGCACGGAAGUUAGGAACCAAAACCCAAACUCUCUUUAUGUAAUGUAGGGUGGGUCACGGUCUUUAAUAGUCGGCUUAAGUGGGUGUUUGGCUGAACUUUUGAAAAAUAAUUUUGGAAUUCAAAAGUGAUUCUCGGCUCAAUACAACAUUCGAUAAUCUUAUUUUCCACUGAUCGUCCGUUGCGCAAGUGGCAAAGUACUUGUGGUUGGUAUCCCAGGUAACAAGGUCGAAUCCUAAUUGAUUUAUAUUUUUCAUCUGAUUUUGAUGUUUAAAAUUAGUUUUCGAAUUUUCGAGCUUCAAAAUCAGAAGCAGCUAAAAUCUACUUAUUGAAAUCCGAUACUGAUUUUAAACCUAAAUUUAAAAUUUAUUUUAAUUUUAGAUUGAAACUUUACAUUAAAUUCGAUUGUUUAUUUUUAAUUGUUAAUUAUAUAUUUGAAUUUCUAAAUUUUAAAUUUUAACUUUUAGAUUUCAAAUUUAAAAAUUUAAAAUUUUAAAUUAGAUGUUAAAUUUUUAAUUUUUAAUUUCAAAUCUCAAAUUUAAAUUUUCAAAAUUCAAAAUUAUUAAAUUUCAAAUUUUAAAUUUAAGAUAAUAUUUAAAAUUUAAAAUUUAAAAUAAAUUUAAAAUUAUAAGUAAAUUAUAAAUUUCAAAUAUUAAAAUUUAAAUUAUAAAUUUUUGAAUUUUUAAAUUUCAAUUUAAAAUUUAAAAUUUAAAAUAUAAAUAUUCAAAUUUAAAAUUAAGAUUUCAAAUUUCAAAUUUAAAAUUAAACUUUUGAUUUAAAAAUUCAAUUUUUAAUUUUUAAUUUUUAUAUUUCAAAUUUAUAUUUUAAAUUAAAAUAUCAAAUUUCAAAUUUUUGUUCAAAUUUAGAUUGUAAUUUUAAAUUCAAAUUUUAAACUAUUUUAAAAUAAAAUUUAGUAAAAAUAUUUUUAUUUGCAAAAAUCAAAAUAUUUUUUCAAACAACUUUACAAAUUACUUUAAAAUAUCACUUUCCAUCUAAACUUAACCAAACGCUUCUGUCACGACCCGGAUUAUUCGUUUCCCCGAGCACGCUAACAGACCCGCCCCGCCGUAUACAUAGAAAUUUUUUCUAUAUACGAAGCGAUAGCUGUACCUAUAACUGUAAUCAUACAACACUACAACCAGUAGUAUAGAGCUGCUAAAAAAGAAAAUAUAUAUAAAUAACAGCGGUUCAACAUACAUACGAAAUAUCCUGAUACAGAAAUGAUCGCUCUAGCGAGUUACUAACAUCAGUAUGUACAAGAACCAAAACUAACACUACUUGCAGGAAGUACUCCUCUAGCUCUGCAACUUGUCAGGAAGGGCUCUAACUCGCAACACUCUUUCCAUGAUCAGUAACAACAGUAGCAGCAGCGGCAAACGAAAGCUCUACAAAAGAUCCACAACUGGAUGUGAGAACUACUGCAAAAAGUAGUAGUUCUCAGUGGGUACCGCUACCGACCUCAACGGCUCACCCACUAAGUCUACAGAAGGUAUGCUUAAUGAUAGUAAGGAACUGGAAACAAUCUACAGCUAUAUGCCACUAUACUAUCAUAAUCCAACACUAACUAUCUGUAGAACAAUGUAAUCUCUGACCCAAUCUCACUAGGGACUGUGAAUACACCCGUCCCGCCUGUCGAAGCUACACUAACAACCACCACGCUGGCUAGUCAAUGGAGACCAAGUCCAACCAGGACACAACGACACCAACGCAACAGCACUAAGCCCGACUUCGGAGUGGCACUCGUGGACGCUACCCAACCAAGUAUGCAAGCGUAUUUCUGCCGAGCUCAAUCAGGCUCUCACGGGCUAUAGUCAAAGUAACCAGGGUCUAACAACCAACUCACAUGCCCUUGGUACAAUUUGAUGCAAAAACAGCAAUUUGGGUCCACCGUCAACCUCAACGGCACCCGACAGUCCGAAACAGCCUAAACACUGCUUUAAAAAUAAGCUCGACAUCUCAGCACGAGUGUAACUAUAUUCUACACUAUUCUGGGUAUCCACCGCCCACAAACUGCGGCGAUACAAACAAACUACGACUUCUAGAGCUAAAUCUGAUAGUUUUAACAAAUGACGGUGUAGAAUCGCUAGUUUUCUCCUAAGUCAAUUCCAAGUCCAACAUAUAUAUUUAAACUAACAUUUUAAGCUCCAAAAUUCAGAUUUCAAUAAGCAUGCAAACCCAUUAAUUUGAGCUAAUUAACAUGAUAUACAACUACCAACAUACAUGCUGACAACAACUAAACUUAGGAGGAAAUCCAAAAAUUCCGGUAGCUAAUCAUCAACCCACCUAUAGCGCUUAAUUCACGACAGCGAGAAGUCACCGGAAAACCCUGCCAAGCUCAGCCACAAACCAGCAACAAGCCUCUCUAAGGAUCUAACACAAGAACACCAAAAUUGCAUUAAUACCCUCAAAUUUCAGCACCUAAGCUUAAAUUCUCGAAUUCCAAUGUCAAACUCACCUUCGAAACUUCAAAUCAGGUGAAGAAACAUCCCAAAACCAGUGGAGGUGAUAGAGUAACACUCUCUGGUCCGAAAUCCAACUUCCUCCAAGAUUCGAUCCAAGAAAACCAAAGAAAUCUCAAUUUCAGCUCAAAAACACCAACAGCACAGAAAAUCACCAAAUUGACAAUACAAACCUCAAUCAAAUGCUGUCAAAAUGGCCUCUACGAAAUCUCCAGGAAGUUAGCUAACCAACAAACUAAGUUUCGUUGCAAUCCGACCUUCCUACGUCGCACAUGAGCCAAAACGCCAAAGGUCACUCCUGGAAUUCUGCUGAAACAGCAAUCCUCAAGGUGGAAUUGUGCAAAUUGGAGAAUUUAGAGGGAUUGGAAUGCAAUUGUAGGCUUCACUGUGAAGGAGAUGUGAAAAAGCUUCUCAGGGGUCGAAUACAAGCUAUUUAUAAUGAGGUGAAAGGGUGAAGUAAGCCUCAAGAAUAAGAGAUGCUAACCUACUGUUCCUGCAGAAAACAUGACUUUCGGGCGCCCAAAACCCAUUUCUGGGCGUCCGAAAUCUCCAGGCUAUACAAACACUCCUCUUCGGUUCCUCCGCCCGCGGUAUGAUGCACCCAAAACCUGGUUCGGCGGACCUCACCUAACACAAGACACGUGUCAGCACAGCCGAUAUUCCCAAAGUGAAUUUUCGGACCCACAUCUGGACGCCCGGAACACAGGAUCUGAAUUGGCUUCUAGUUCAGUUCAAUUUAGCACUCAAGAUCUGGGCGACCCAAAUCAUGUUUUAGGCGCCCGAAACUGGCAAAACUCCAGUUUUGCUUAUUUGAGUGCGCCAAGUCCAUUUCUACAUCCAUUUCAUGCAGANGGAUCUGAAUUGGCUUCUAGUUCAGUUCAAUUUAGCACUCAAGAUCUGGGCGACCCAAAUCAUGUUUUAGGCGCCCGAAACUGGCAAAACUCCAGUUUUGCUUAUUUGAGUGCGUCAAGUCCAUUUCUACAUCCAUUUCAUGCAGAAACGACUCCGACUCAGUCCGACACUCUCCAGAUGUGUUGGCCAGUCACUAAAACUGAAACCAAUCCGAUAUGAAACCCUCGGGACACUACAGCUUUAGCCUGUUUCGGCAAUUUCAGAAACUCGAUUUGACAACAUUCUGUUUUAGUGAUCCUUUAGCUUUUGUUGUCGGUUGUUGCUGCCCGGGGCACCUGUUUUGGUGUAUUUGGUGACAACGAUUAGUUAUAAUUGGGAUCAGGGUUUUCCAGAGCUGUUUAUUUGUCCCGAAGGCGUUCCGGCAAGUUUCGGAAGUUCGAGUGGGUUUUCGAUUAACGGUUCCAGUAACCGUUUGCUUGAUUUGUUUGAGAUUCUCAUUUGGGUAGUGCAUGACUCAAUAGAUCUUUCAUAAGUCCGAGGGCAGCUUCGCGUGGUCUGCACUCCAUGUUCUUGGUGGUACAAGUGGAUGCUUCGAGCUAGUAGUCGGUGAGAUUGUUUCACUUUCCUUUUCCCUGCUAUUGCACUUGCUUAUCAGUAUCUUAAUCUCUACAUGUCGGUUGCCUUUGUUCACAGUUUGUUUAUCUAUAUCUUGAUAGUUGCAUGGUGAUAGUUGUUUGUAGACAUGUAGAGUAGACUUGCAUAUAUUGUACAUCUUUGAACCUCGGCCCAGGCAACACAUCGACUCCUUUGUCACGUGUUUCGAUCUAGUUGACCAUGAUUCGGCGUUGUACGCCCUUAUAUCUGGAUUCUGCCAAGGUACCGAUUUUCUGCCGUCUUUCACAUUGAGCAUAUCAGCAUGAUUUAGUUACAGCACUGUGUGUAUUUCUAGACACCAGGUCGAUUUGGCCACCGACUAGGGAUGUACUUAUUCAGAUGGGUCGUCAGUGGACGCGUGAAUCAGGUCAGUGUAUGCAUUGUGACAGGCAACGCUUGAGGUCUGCGGACCAAUAUGGCAACCACCGGAUUGGGUUUGGUUUGGAUUAUUUACCUUUGAGGCAUCUGUUCAGUUGAGAUUCUGAUACAGUAGUAGCUUUAUAACUUGCUCAUUUACAAUUCUGUUAUUACUACUGUUGUUCACUUAUUUAUCAUGUCAUUUUCAUGUAUACCUAUUAUUCUAUCUCUUUUAUUUUUCAGUGAAUAUGAUUUGCCUUCGUGGCUUUGUCGUACCCACUGGAAAACCUUGUUGUGGUUUCUCACCCCCUCUUUUCUCUAGGUGGCACGAGUGACGAGUCGGUUCAUGGUGCGACGGGAAGACGUCCUAGUUAGACUGCAUUAGCAGUCGUCACCCUGAUUAUUUUUCUUUCUGUAUUUAGUUGUUUAAAUAAAUGAAUGGUUCAGUUAGAUGAUCAUUGAUAUUGCUUGAAUAAUAACAGUGGAUCUGUAUGAACUUGAGAUUUCUAGUAUGCAUGUUCUCGUGUUUUCUCUAGGUAUUUAGUAUUUGGAUUAUGGAUUCAUGCCUUGUGGUUUUCUACCGCUCGAGGUAGUCGGUUUUCAAAGAUUGAGUUUUCGUGUGGAAAACAAUUUUAAAAAGUUUUCGAAUGUUUUUAUAGAUGAACAAUUAGAGUUUAAAAAUAAAGUUUCCGAGUGGGGAGCACUUUUAAAUAGGAUGAUUGUUGUAUUGUGUAUCACAUCAUCCAGCGCCUAAGGAGAGUUUAGAGGCAUACAUCUGUGACACCCCAAUAGUCUCACAUUGGAUAGUUAUGGCUAGAUGUAGGAGUAUAUAAGUUUGAUUGGGCUAGAUAUAAUAAAUAGGCUUAAGCAUUUUGAGCCGAUUAUUUGGGCCCAACGAGUUAUUAUUGCUAGUAGGUUGGGUGGUUACAUUUGGUAUCAGAGCCAGUUCACCAGCCGAAAGUGUGAGAUGAGUCUUGGCUGAGCCAGGAUCGGAAUGAUAGACUAAGUCAGGGUCGGUGAUUGAAAAGCUAAGUCAGGGUCGGAAGGACAAAAGCUACUGAGACAAGUCUCACAUUACCUGGUGAUCUUGGGUUGUGUGUGUGUUUAAGGCUGACGAGGAUGUCAGGGCCUAAACGGGGGGAGUCUGUAACACCCUAAUAGUCCCAUAUCGGAUAGUUAUGGCUAAAUAUGGGAGUAUAUAAGUUUGAUUGGGUUAGACAUAAUAACUGGGCUUAAGCGUUUUGGGCCGAUUGUUUGGGCCCAACGAGUUAUUAUUGCUAGCGGGUUGGGUCGUUACAACAUCAUCUCUUAGAAUGGUUAGCUAUAUGGAAAUGCAUCGAAUUGAUUGUUUGUGGAUUGGUGAAUGUAGGUUGUAAGUUGGAUCCUUUUGAUGUUGUCGUUGGGUACGCCGUGCAAAUACAAAAAGACUCUGUGCCUAUAUUUCGACCCAGACGCUUUCGGGAUGCUCCAAAUAACCAACGAAUGGCAAGGGAAGAAAUGCAAUUGGGUCCAGGGUUGGGUCGAGCGGCCCUAUUUAUUAUUAUAGGCGAUAAUAAACGUUUUCUGAUUGGGUUGCCGGAGAGGAUUCGUUUUGGAUGGGUGCUCCAGAUGGCGAAAUGCAACAAGGAACGAGCGCCACACGGGUUUUGCCUUUGCGAAAACUUAAUCUGUGACACUUGGGAACGUGAUAAUCAUCUAUUGUAGGAGCUCUCACUCAGCCUUUCAGCUCAACCAGCAGUCGCUGCUGUGCUUUAGUUCAUUAGUUUAGUGUCGUCGAGUACUAAAUUGUAUUUGUAGCGGGUUUGUGCGUCACGUGGGUCAGGUUGUUUCAAUAAUAAUAAUAAUAAUAAUAAUAAUAUUUUCGCAACUUUGAUUUAUAAAAAAAAAGGCAUUAUUUUAGGUCCCGAGGCGUGACAGUGUAGUGUCUCUGGGGCUUAGCUGUCUGACUGACUAUAGUAUUAGUGACUUGUCGAUACAUCUGUAGAGUGUCAGGACGAGUCAGGGUCGUUUUGGCGUGAAAUAGACAUGAAAACAGACUCAGAGCUAUGAGAGUAGGAGUUUGAACAUUGAAAUCUACAAAAGCAGGAUUUUGAGUGUUGUAUACCAGUACCUGAGAGGAGUACCGGUACCCUUGAGGGAUUACAAGGUUUGAUGCUCUCGGAUUUGUGCAGCUUGGCGUCGAGUACCGGUACCUGUUGGUGAGUACCGGUACUGGGCCUGGGUACCGGUACUGCAUCCGGCUAGUACCGGUACACAGCACUCGAGUUCGCGAGUUGAGUGUUGGGUACCGAUACCCAAGUUGAGUACCGGUACUCAAACGGCUGAAUUGAGUUGGUAAGGGGUCUUUUGGUCAUUUUGGUUGUCGAUAUUAUCGCCAACCGACCCCCAGCCCUAUUUAGCUGAGUUGGAGCUAGGAGAACUGAUAGAGCUUCAUCUCUCUCUCUCUCCCUCUCUCUAGCUAGCUCAGGAUCACUCUCUGUUGCAUUGUGCUGGUCCUUGGAGGUUUGGUCGCGCACCACGGUUGAUUCCUUUGAGGCUGUUCCGGCAUGGGGCUUCUUCUAUCGACUUCUAGCCGGUGUUGGACGAGCAUUUGAGGUGGUUUAAUGUUUACCGAAAUCGUCGGAAUUCCUCCUAAGUCGUAGAGUGACAGCAUGUACUUUCUUAAGUUGAUCACCAUAUUUAGUAGCUCGAAUUCUUGUAUUUGCAUGUUUUUAUGAAAUCUGAAUUUGGAGUAUAAUCUAACGAUUUUAGAUGAAUUUUAUAUGCUGAACUGGGAUUUGACUUAGGAGAAAACGGAUUAAACCUACACUGUCAUUUUCGAAAGGUUAACAGAUUUAGCUUCAUGAGCUAGUUUCUUUAUUGUAUCACCGCUUUUAGUGCGUUGUGAAUACUCAGAAUAGUAUAGGUUAAGUUUACGCUCGUGCUGAGGGAUCGAGCUCGUUUUACAGUAGAGUUUGGACUGUUCUGUACCGUUGGGUGCCGUCGGGGCUGACGAUGGACCCAUAUGUUUAUAUCUUCUCUAAGAUUAUGCCGAGGGCACGUGAAAUUUGGUUGUUAGACCAGUUUGACCCAUUUGCAUUGACUAUAGCCUGUGUGAGCCUGAUUGAGCUCGACAGAGACACGCUUGCAUACUUGGUUGGGUCGCUCCCACGAGUGCCGCUCCGGAGUGAGGCUUUACUUGCAUUGAUGUCGCAGCAGUUCCGUUUGGGCAAUUCUUGGACCGGCCAUUCCCGUGGGUGGUGUGCGGUGUAGUUUGGAUACAAACUGAACGGGCCAGUCGGCAGUCUCUUGAGAUUGGGUCAGUGUUGAGCUAGUGAUGCAUUUCUAUAUCUGCAGAGAGCAUGGUUGGAUAGCGAUAGUCUAGUAGGAUAUAGCUGUAGAGUUUCUUCCAGCUUACUAUCCUUUGCAUACCUUACUGUAGAUUUAGUGGGUGGGCCGUUGGGGUUGGUGACGGUACCUACUGAGGACUAUUUUGGUUUGCAGUAGUUCUCACACCCCGUUGUUGCUACCUUUUUGCAGACCCGUCCGUUGCUGCUGCUGUUGAUUCUAACCGUGGUAAGGGAGUCGCGAGCUAAAUCCCUAUCAUCCCUGAUCACUGUGCUAGAGGAGUACCCCUUCAGAGGUAGUUUCGGUUGUUACCAUGUACAUACAGUUAUAUUUUGGUUGUACACUCUGGACCGGGGUUGUAUUUUAGAUAUUGUAUGUACAGUGGACUUAGUGUGUAUAUAUAUAUAUAUAUAUGUGUGUGUGUGUGUGUGUGUGUUUCUAUUUAGCAGCUCUGUGCUUAGCAGCUCUGUGCUUUGGUUGUAACUCCAAUUUGUUUGCAGGUAUAUAUGU